RNAcentral lists this ribosomal RNA (497 nucleotides) under uncultured bacterium. RNAcentral's name for it is "partial 16S ribosomal RNA". It matches the Rfam family "Bacterial small subunit ribosomal RNA", at positions 28 to 507 of the family's 1533-position model. The record is from RNAcentral.
GAUGAACGCUGGCGGCGUGCCUAAUACAUGCAAGUCGAGCGAACAGACGAGGGGCUUGCUCCUCUGACGUUAGCGGCGGACGGGUGAGUAACACGUGGAUAACCUACCUAUAAGACUGGGAUAACUUCGGGAAACCGGAGCUAAUACCGGAUAACAUGUUGAACCGCAUGGUUCAACAGUGAAAGACGGUCUUGCUGUCACUUAUAGAUGGAUCCGCGCCGCAUUAGCUAGUUGGUAAGGUAACGGCUUACCAAGGCAACGAUGCGUAGCCGACCUGAGAGGGUGAUCGGCCACACUGGAACUGAGACACGGUCCAGACUCCUACGGGAGGCAGCAGUAGGGAAUCUUCCGCAAUGGGCGAAAGCCUGACGGAGCAACGCCGCGUGAGUGAAGAAGGUCUUCGGAUCGUAAAACUCUGUUAUUAGGGAAGAACAAAUGUGUAAGUAACUAUGCACGUCUUGACGGUACCUAAUCAGAAAGCCACGGCUAACUACGUG